UAGCUCAGUCGGUUAGAGCGUGGUGCUAAUAAUGCCAAGGUCAGGGGUUCAAUCCCUG
Molecule: transfer RNA, 58 nt
Filed under: Pelecanus crispus (Dalmatian pelican)
Lineage: Eukaryota; Metazoa; Chordata; Aves; Pelecaniformes; Pelecanidae
Rfam family: tRNA
About the family: Transfer RNA (tRNA) molecules are approximately 80 nucleotides in length. Their secondary structure includes four short double-helical elements and three loops (D, anti-codon, and T loops).
Source: Rfam by way of RNAcentral